AUGUGUCUCAGUCUGAAACUGCGAUCCCCUUCCCACUGCCUAAGGAAGACACUGAUCUGCACCUGCACUGGGGAAGCAAAGCAUCUGAGGAACACCAGUUUGGAUUCAGGAGGCCACUUAUGUCAGACUUCUUCCCACCGUAACACGCCAGAACAGUACAAGAAGGAAAUAUUCCUGGAGGAGGAAUGUCUUUUACUAGUGAAGAUGCAAAUCACUCCUAUUUUAGAUGCCUCAGUGAAGUGCCUAAAGUCACAAGGAAGGGAGCUAGAACAUCAGUCUGCAUCUGUUGUCUUCUGCAGGGAGUUGUCAUCAGUCAUCUUGUCUGCAGAAACAGGUUACAUCCAGAUGUCCCAGAUCAUUCAAAUCUAAUCCAUGAGUCUGAACCUUUGAAGAAGAUCUGCUCCCAGAGGGACUGUGAACUUUGCAUCUUUGACCUACCUGUUAUUUAUUAUGAAAGAUCUUCAUGAACCAAGCCCAAACCAUAGCACAGUCAACAAGAACUGCAACAGCGACUUCAGUGGACUUUGGGUCAAAUCUUGUUGCAAACUACAAAAAAGGAAAACACACAUGCAAAGAAUACACCAAAAUAAAUAAAUAAAUGAUGGGAUGUUCA
Molecule: long non-coding RNA, 613 nt
Filed under: Coturnix japonica (Japanese quail)
Lineage: Eukaryota; Metazoa; Chordata; Aves; Galliformes; Phasianidae
Description: lncRNA (ENSCJPG00005014866.1)
Source: RNAcentral